RNAcentral lists this ribosomal RNA (208 nucleotides) under uncultured bacterium. Its description in RNAcentral is "partial 16S ribosomal RNA". It matches the Rfam family "Bacterial small subunit ribosomal RNA", at positions 568 to 774 of the family's 1533-position model. The record is from RNAcentral.
AGCGUAGACGGAAUGGCAAGUCUGAUGUGAAAGGCCGGGGGCUCAACCCCGGGACUGCAUUGGAAACUGUCAAUCUAGAGUACCGGAGGGGUAAGUGGAAUUCCUAGUGUAGCGGUGAAAUGCGUAGAUAUUAGGAGGAACACCAGUGGCGAAGGCGGCUUACUGGACGGUAACUGACGUUGAGGCUCGAAAGCGUGGGGAGCAAACA